Molecule: ribosomal RNA, 852 nt
Filed under: uncultured bacterium
Lineage: Bacteria
Description: bacterial SSU rRNA
Rfam family: Bacterial small subunit ribosomal RNA
Source: RNAcentral
AGGGAUAGCCUUCCGAAAGGAAGAUUAAUACCUCAUAAUACAAAGAAAACGCAUGUUUUCUUUGCCAAAGAAUUUCGUUGUGAGAUGGGCCCGCGGCGCAUUAGCUUGUUGGUGAGGUAACGGCUCACCAAGGCUUCGAUGCGUAGCCGACCUGAGAGGGUGAUCGGCCACAUUGGAACUGAGACACGGUCCAGACUCCUACGGGAGGCAGCAGUGGGGAAUAUUGCACAAUGGAGGAAACUCUGAUGCAGCAACGCCGCGUGAGUGAUGAAGGUCUUCGGAUUGUAAAGCUCUGUCUUCUGGGACGAUAAUGACGGUACCAGAGGAGGAAGCCACGGCUAACUACGUGCCAGCAGCCGCGGUAAUACGUAGGUGGCAAGCGUUGUCCGGAAUUAUUGGGCGUAAAGGGAGCGCAGGCGGGAAGGUAAGUCGGUCUUAAAAGUGCGGGGCUCAACCCCGUGAUGGGAUCGAAACUAUCUUUCUUGAGUGCAGGAGAGGAAAGUGGAAUUCCUAGUGUAGCGGUGAAAUGCGUAGAUAUUAGGAGGAACACCAGUGGCGAAGGCGACUUUCUGGACUGUAACUGACGCUGAGGCUCGAAAGCCAGGGGAGCGAACGGGAUUAGAUACCCCGGUAGUCCUGGCCGUAAACGAUGAAUACUAGGUGUGGGAGGUAUCGACCCCUUCCGUGCCGGAGUUAACGCAAUAAGUAUUCCGCCUGGGGAGUACGGUCGCAAGACUGAAACUCAAAGGAAUUGACGGGGGCCCGCACAAGCGGUGGAGUAUGUUGGUUUAAUUCGACGCAACGCGAAGAACCUUACCAGGGCUUGACAUUGAGUGAAAGGUGCAGAGAUGC